AUCUUUGCGCUUGGGGCA
This 18-nucleotide non-coding RNA is filed under the name Arabidopsis thaliana (thale cress). Lineage: Eukaryota; Viridiplantae; Streptophyta; Magnoliopsida; Brassicales; Brassicaceae. The record is from RNAcentral.